Molecule: long non-coding RNA, 761 nt
Filed under: Equus caballus (horse)
Lineage: Eukaryota; Metazoa; Chordata; Mammalia; Perissodactyla; Equidae
Description: lncRNA (ENSECAG00000054600.1)
Source: RNAcentral
AGCCAUCCUGCGGCAGCAGAGGAGAGAGGACUCUCCUGCAUCUUCAUAUCUGUCACAGCCAUCUUCGCUGUCCCCGCCCAGAUCAACACUCAGAGAGCGCAGCUCACCUCGAGGCUGGGAACCCCUUGGACAGACAUCUCUUGCUCUUCCCUGCUUCCCUCCCUUCCGGUUCCUCAUCCUGUGCUCCCAACAUGUGUUUGGAAUGCCAUGGGCCUGGGAGGAGCCUUUUAUUAGGAAGCUCCUCAAGAAGCUCACAGGCUCCCUGAGGCCAGGGAACCGGGACACCACCAGAGCGAUUCUGAGGAGGGGCAAGGCAGCAGAGGGCCAAAGCAGACAGCAGAAGCGCAGUGUGGCAACCAAAGAACUUGUCCGUGGCUAAGGGAGGCGAACUUCACGCCUGAAGUGCUGACAAAUGGACGGCGAGGAAAGCACCAAGGAAGUGGGGGCCCCUGAGGCCCAGUCAGGUGAAGAUCAGCUCUACCCAAGAAUCAGAACAGGAGGGACUACCGGACAGACAGGGCGGAGACCCUGACCGAGCCCACGCUGGUUGACUGUGUACACCUAAACUCACCAUUAAAUUAGCUGUGAGCUAACAUCUGCUGCCAUUCCUCCUCUUUUUACUGAGGAAGACUGGCCCUGCCUGAGCUAACAUCCACGCUUAUCUUCCUCUACUUUAUAUGCCCACGCCUGCCCACGACAUGGCUUGACAAGCAGUGUGUAGGUCCGCAUCUGGGAUCCGAACCAGCAAACCCUGCGCUGCC